GGGGGCGACCGGUUUUGACAGCUUGCAGAGUCUGAUCGUAAGCACGUCGAGCUUUGUGUGGUGGCUCGUAAAUCUCAACACUCGAACUACAAAUGGCAAUAACAGCUAUGCACUCGCUGCCUAAUUUUCAAGGAAAAUCGGGCUUAAUCAUCUGAUCCAAGGAGACCGGAUGACGAGUAUCCCGAACGGGGGCCCGCCCUUGGCAACCGUUCAUACGGGGUAUCAUCAAUUAGGGGAUAGUGCGACGGAAGUCUCGGCCGCCGUGCGAAAUUAAAGAGACUGCGGCAAGGGUCAGGCCGUCUGCGGCCAUCCCGCGCAAGAGGAUCAAUCGCAGAAUAAACGUGUAGAAAGCCUUCGGGUUCCUUGUUUGGACGCGGGUUCGACUCCCGCCGCCUCCACAA
RNAcentral lists this transfer-messenger RNA (401 nucleotides) under Rikenellaceae. RNAcentral's name for it is "Alistipes merdipullorum Standard tmRNA". It matches the Rfam family "transfer-messenger RNA". Rfam says of the family: Bacterial tmRNA, also known as 10Sa RNA or SsrA, is named for its dual tRNA and mRNA-like properties. Lineage: Bacteria; Pseudomonadati; Bacteroidota; Bacteroidia; Bacteroidales. The record is from RNAcentral. RNAcentral also lists the same sequence under 1 other name.